RNAcentral lists this ribosomal RNA (1448 nucleotides) under Staphylococcus hominis. RNAcentral describes it as "bacterial SSU rRNA". It matches the Rfam family "Bacterial small subunit ribosomal RNA". The record is from RNAcentral. Lineage: Bacteria; Bacillati; Bacillota; Bacilli; Caryophanales; Staphylococcaceae.
CUGGCGGCGUGCCUAAUACAUGCAAGUCGAGCGAACAGACGAGGAGCUUGCUCCUUUGACGUUAGCGGCGGACGGGUGAGUAACACGUGGGUAACCUACCUAUAAGACUGGGAUAACUUCGGGAAACCGGAGCUAAUACCGGAUAAUAUUUCGAACCGCAUGGUUCGAUAGUGAAAGAUGGCUUGCUAUCACUUAUAGAUGGACCUGCGCCGUAUUAGCUAGUUGGUAAGGUAACGGCUUACCAAGGCAACGAUACGUAGCCGACCUGAGAGGGUGAUCGGCCACACUGGAACUGAGACACGGUCCAGACUCCUACGGGAGGCAGCAGUAGGGAAUCUUCCGCAAUGGGCGAAAGCCUGACGGAGCAACGCCGCGUGAGUGAUGAAGGUCUUCGGAUCGUAAAACUCUGUUAUUAGGGAAGAACAAACGUGUAAGUAACUGUGCACGUCUUGACGGUACCUAAUCAGAAAGCCACGGCUAACUACGUGCCAGCAGCCGCGGUAAUACGUAGGUGGCAAGCGUUAUCCGGAAUUAUUGGGCGUAAAGCGCGCGUAGGCGGUUUUUUAAGUCUGAUGUGAAAGCCCACGGCUCAACCGUGGAGGGUCAUUGGAAACUGGAAAACUUGAGUGCAGAAGAGGAAAGUGGAAUUCCAUGUGUAGCGGUGAAAUGCGCAGAGAUAUGGAGGAACACCAGUGGCGAAGGCGACUUUCUGGUCUGUAACUGACGCUGAUGUGCGAAAGCGUGGGGAUCAAACAGGAUUAGAUACCCUGGUAGUCCACGCCGUAAACGAUGAGUGCUAAGUGUUAGGGGGUUUCCGCCCCUUAGUGCUGCAGCUAACGCAUUAAGCACUCCGCCUGGGGAGUACGACCGCAAGGUUGAAACUCAAAGGAAUUGACGGGGACCCGCACAAGCGGUGGAGCAUGUGGUUUAAUUCGAAGCAACGCGAAGAACCUUACCAAAUCUUGACAUCCUUUGACCCUUCUAGAGAUAGAAGUUUCCCCUUCGGGGGACAAAGUGACAGGUGGUGCAUGGUUGUCGUCAGCUCGUGUCGUGAGAUGUUGGGUUAAGCCGCAACGAGCGCAACCCUUAAGCUUAGUUGCCAUCAUUAAGUUGGGCACUCUAAGUUGACUGCCGGUGACAAACCGGAGGAAGGUGGAUGACGUCAAAUCAUCAUGCCCCUUAUGAUUUGGGCUACACACGUGCUACAAUGCAAUACAAAGGGCAGCGAAACCGCGAGGUCAAGCAAAUCCCAUAAAGUUGUUCUCAGUUCGGAUUGUAGUCUGCAACUCGACUACAUGAAGCUGGAAUCGCUAGUAAUCGUAGAUCAGCAUGCUACGGUGAAUACGUUCCCGGGUCUUGUACACACCGCCCGUCACACCACGAGAGUUUGUAACACCCGAAGCCGGUGGAGUAACCAUUUGGAGCUAGCCGUCGAAGGUGGGACAAAU